This is a long non-coding RNA of Wyeomyia smithii (pitcher-plant mosquito), 1176 nucleotides long. RefSeq lists it as uncharacterized. The transcript is spliced from 3 exons. NCBI's taxonomy places the organism in Eukaryota, Metazoa, Arthropoda, Insecta, Diptera, Culicidae. The record is from RefSeq and is a predicted model, not a curated record.
GCAGUUUUGAGUUAUUAUCCAUGAUGUUUACUCACCCCUGAGUAUAUGUAUAUGUCAAAAGUUUUCAACAGCGAUAUUAUCUGUUUCCGAAGAACAAUUGGUGUCGCUUUUUAUUCGUUUGCUAGCACCCAACAUUAUUAUUGCAGAGGAUUUGAAAACAUAAAAAACAUCUCUUCAAAAUGAACAACCGCAUGUUGUGUGUUCUGCGAUGCCGUUUUAAGUCGGGCUUUUAUUCGUGAUAAUGAACGGAAACAUUUGUAUCGAUGUACAGUGCCCAAUACAUGCAAUCGAUACAAUUUAAAUCCUUCGCAGUGUUUGGUGACGGAUGAUGAUACUGUACAAAAACAUGAGCCACAGUUCACGGGCAACUGUGAACCGGUUGGUUGCCGCAUUAUAUAAAGACACGUGAAUGAUUUAAAACUUUUAUAAUGUUUCGAUGAAAAAUAAAUCUAUGAUUUUGAUUGUUCUGAAUUUAUUUUAUUUAUUGAGUAAGAUUUACAAAAACCAGAAAUCAUCAAGUUUCCAAAUUUAGGCAAACUGGGUAACUUGUACUCAUUUUCGUUAAUUCCUGGUUUGCAUAAACAGAGUAGAUUCUAAUCAGUUUUUGACGUAUGACGCCCUUACUCAGAAGUGAGUAACCGUAAAAGUACUCAAAUUAGGGUACCUCCACUCUUUUCCUAAAAUGGGUCAUAUCUAACUCACGUUAGAGUAACAAAUAAUGAGCGUGUAUAUUUACAGUCUGGCGGACAGAAAAUCAUCCGAUCUGGCAACUGGAUAAUUCGAUCAAAAUAGUUGGCAACUGCAGACAAAGUUCAAACCAUUGAAAACCUUUUUCGUUGUGAUCAAUAAUGUUUAAACUUUUGUGAAUUUUCUCCCGAUAUUACCGCAAAAAAUGAAGUGUUUCUAUUACAAAUGUUCGAACAGCUCUCGGUGUCAGAUGAAAAAUGUAGCGUUCUUCCGUUUUCCUAAAUUAGAAGAUUUAAGAAGUAGGUGGUUAACUUUUUGUAAUCUUCCUAUUGAGACUGAAGUUCCAGAAAAAGCCAGGCUGUGCAGCUUGCAUUUUUAAGAGCAUCAUGUAUAUUUAUCUUCGGCUGGUAAGAUUCUAAAAACGAGCAAGGCCGUUCCUAUAUUUGAAAAUGUUCCGCAACUAUGCUCUGAAGGGCGAAUGAAAAAACA